RNAcentral lists this ribosomal RNA (332 nucleotides) under uncultured bacterium. RNAcentral's name for it is "bacterial SSU rRNA". It matches the Rfam family "Bacterial small subunit ribosomal RNA", at positions 568 to 898 of the family's 1533-position model. The record is from RNAcentral.
CGUGCAGGCGGGCCGGCAAGUCUGAUGUGAAAGCCCCGGGCUCAACCCGGGAAGUGCAUUGGAAACUGCUGGUCUUGAGUUCUGGAGAGGAAGGGGGAGUUCCCGGUGUAGAGGUGAAAUUCGUAGAGAUCGGGAGGAAUACCAGUGGCGAAGGCGCCCUUCUGGACGGCAACUGACGCUGAGACGCGAAAGCGUGGGGAGCAAACAGGAUUAGAUACCCUGGUAGUCCACGCUGUAAACGAUGAGCACUAGGUGUAGCGGGUACUCAUUCCUGCUGUGCCGCAGCUAACGCGUUAAGUGCUCCGCCUGGGGAUUACGGUCGCAAGACUAAA